This 253-nucleotide ribosomal RNA is filed under the name uncultured bacterium. RNAcentral describes it as "partial 16S ribosomal RNA". It matches the Rfam family "Bacterial small subunit ribosomal RNA", at positions 524 to 776 of the family's 1533-position model. The record is from RNAcentral.
UACAGAGGGUGCGAGCGUUAAUCGGAUUUACUGGGCGUAAAGCGUGUGUAGGCGGUUCGCUAAGUCGGAUGUGAAAGCCCUGGGCUCAACCUGGGAAUUGCAUUCGAUACUGGCAAGCUAGAGUACGGUAGAGGGCGGCGGAAUUCCGGGUGUAGCGGUGAAAUGCGUAGAUAUCCGGAGGAACACCGAUGGCGAAGGCAACCGCCUGGGCCUGUACUGACGCUGAGACACGAAAGCGUGGGGAGCAAACAGG